CAACAUACACCGCCUUGCUCUUUAAAUAAAGUUUCUCUUCUCUUUGGCCUUCACCUGCAUCCCCAAUCCAUCCUCUCUUCUCUGAAUGAUUUUGGAAGAGGUUGAAGAGAGGAAAGAUCCAAUCUUUGUGAUGCUUUUGUUGGUCUUUAUUAGCUUUUUAGUUUGAAAUUUGAAUUUUUUUCCCUGGGUUUAUAGAUUUUUUGACCAGUACUGCACUUUGUCUUCUUGCAUGCGGGUUUUGAUGCGUCAGUGACUAUUUGAAUGAAAUGAAAGAGGCUGCGGCGAGAAAAAGUCUGAUUUUUUUGGGUGAUGAAAAUGUCUUUUGAUUUAUAGUUUUCAUAAGUUUUUUUUUGUUUAGUUUGAUCUGAAUUUUUAGUUAUUUGGUGAAUCUUAGAGCGAGGAAGGUAACGCGUCAAGGGAAUAUUGUGAUUGCUCAAGAAAUGAGAGUUUUUUGUUAGUAGGGACUCUUUUUUUUUUCUUUGCAAAAAUCCCAUUUUAGUGAAAAACCAGUUUAUUUUCUCCUCACAUUUUCUUUUGAAAGGAGAGGAGAAUACUGCACAGUAAUUGCUCAGCUUUUGAUUGGCUUUUUGGGUAUUUAUCCCGGAGGUGUAUCCCAAAAUCAGACCAGUGGCCUUUCGGUGAUUAUAAGUUGAACUCAUUGGUUAGUAUGCUGAAGAAGAACUCUAGGCCAGUGAGCAACAAGCAAAACCUAAUGGCUGAUCAUCUCUCUCUUCCUUGUCCGACUGCAAAUUACAAUAAACCCCCUACAUCACCUCUCUUCCCUUUAUCUCCAAGGCUCUACGGAGGCUUCUCCCCAAGGGGCAAUUUGGAUAUUGACGCUGCGAUGAGCCCGACCUCCAUUCUCGAGACAAAACCCUUCACCUUGACCCGAAACCGGUUCUCCUCCGACAAGAACCAUAGAAAAUCCGUUGCAGAGUCGACGCAUGAGCCUGUUGGGCUUGGCAUUGUCGACUCAUUGAAGAAGCCCUCAAAGCCUGAAAACAGAAUGGUCCUCAAAAUUCAAAUUCCUUCAUAUAGUUGUGAGGAGUCUCUGCAAUCUCCUACUAUUGAGUUUGGGGUCAAGAACAAGGAAGCUCAGCUUUCGUUGCUCUCUCCGGUGAGGAGAAAUCCAAUGGAGACCGAGACUUUGGUCUCUGGUUGCAUUUUGAGUAGAGAGAUGGAGAUGUCGGAGGACUAUACUUGUGUUAUUGCUCAUGGGCCUAACCCGAAGAUGACCCAUAUUUUUGACAAUUACAUUGUGGAGAAUUGUGGCAAAGGGUUUGCUUCUAUGAGUCCUAGGAAGAAGGAGAGCAGAGUCUCGGACGGUUUUCUUAGUUUUUGUCAUGCUUGCAAGAAGAAGCUUGGGCAAGGGAAGGACAUUUUCAUGUAUAGAGGGGAGAAAGCCUUCUGUAGCCAUGAAUGCCGAUACCAAGAGAUGCUUUUCGACGAAGGGAUAGAAGAUUGCUUGCCGAUGGAUAAUUCUGUAACUCUCUAGCACAAGCUCAGUUCUUGGCUUCUGUCUACCUCUCCUUUCCUUAUGGUUGAAAUCAAAACUAGGAAUUAAACCAUGGUGAAUGUGUUUAUGUAAUUUCCUUGUUGUAAAGUUUAUUGGGGGUUGCUCAUUUUCAUCAAAUUGGAAGAAAAUGUUGUUUGCAAGUUUUGCUAGAGAUCUUCACCAGUGUGACGUAGGGUUUCUAAACUUUUUGGCUUGAGAGAAUAAUGUUUUGCUGCUGAUUGAGAGCGCAAACUAUGAAGUGCGUAUACCGUAGUGUGAAUUUUUUUUUUUAUCCCUCCACCUUCAUCACAACUUUGAAGCAUCUACCAAAAUUCUAGGUUUUGCAAGAGAGAUUAUACAAAUACUUUGCUUAUGUCACUGAGUACUUUCUUUUUCUUUAGAGGAUUAUGACAUGUAUAUAGUUUGUCUAAUCAAACAAUCAAGUGGAGCUGGAUGAAAUAAUUUGCUUUUUGCUUGCACUAA
Molecule: RNA transcript, 1978 nt
Organism: Asparagus officinalis (garden asparagus)
Lineage: Eukaryota; Viridiplantae; Streptophyta; Magnoliopsida; Asparagales; Asparagaceae
Gene name: protein MARD1-like
Exons: 4
Source: RefSeq, a predicted model, not a curated record